This 3765-nucleotide unclassified non-coding RNA is filed under the name Leishmania donovani. RNAcentral describes it as "gene:LdHU3.08.0500(CDS-product:hypothetical_prote in_conserved)". Lineage: Eukaryota; Euglenozoa; Kinetoplastea; Trypanosomatida; Trypanosomatidae. The record is from RNAcentral.
UGCCGCUCUACCUUGUAAUCCCUGCCUUUGUCGGCAACGCUGCUCAGUCACGCCCGCGCAUACACACACACACACAUCGUUCAGCGACGCCGCGUGCCUGCUCUCUGGUUUUCCUCUCUGUGCCACGUGUGUGGCUGUCACAGCAGCGUGAUCGUGGUGCCAGUGGCUGUUCGCGUCGACGACGGAGACAGCGACGACAAGGGGCACGCACACACACACACACACACACGGCGCCCUUCGUGCCCUCUCCUGCAACGUUGUCCUCUUCACCGCGCCAGAGCUUUUUGGGGAUCGGUUUCUGCUUGCGCCGACACCUGUUUUGCAUUGCGUUGCUCGUGUUGCGCGUUAUCCGGUCGCCGACUCUCCCACUCCCCCCCCCACACACACACCACAGACCCACACCAACUCCUCCGUCCAUCCUUGGUCAUGUCGGGUACAUCGAAGCUGCGAUGGGCUCACUAUGACGGCGUCUACCAGCCCGCGCUGCACAUCCCCGCAGAGGAGAUUACCGAGACGGUGCUGCCGGCGGGCUACUCAGCCGUGUACCUGCUCGGACUCGACAGCACCGUAGUGGUACCCGAUGCGGACCUCAGCCCCUACGACCCCCAUGAUACGGCCAAGGCAUCGCACCCGGCGGCCGCCCUCGGUGUGGCGACGGCGCAGCAGAUUCUUGAAGGCUUUCAGGCCAUCGAGGACGGCAGCGCUGCAGGGACCCAGCACGCCCAGCAGUGGCCGCACAAUGACGAGGCGGAGGGGCCCUCGGACACCCUCCUGCUCGAGGACGACGACGACGAUGGCGGCCGUGCACACGGUCGCAGCAGCGCCAGUCGCAGCCGCCACGAGGAGAAGCAGCAGCGAAAACGGGAAAAGAAGGCGGCCAAGGAGGCGAAGAAGGCGGCCAGGGCGGCCGCCAAGCGCGAGCGGGAGGAGGUCACGUCCGCGCCGACGGUGCAGCACCGCGACGACGGCGACAGUGAUGAUGAGCUUCUCGCGGCGAUGACCAUCGAAAACAAGUACAGGCAGGCGCGCGAUCGCGGCUCGGCCGGCGAAGGCGACAAUGCAGGUGCAAGCAGCGGAAAGAAGAGCAAGUCAAAGAAGGAGCGCGACGACGGCGCGUGGGCGGCGCUCGAGGCAGACCUCUUCUCCGACGAGGAGGCCGAGGACGAAGAGAUCGAAGGCGAUGGAGCUGGCCGGUGCGAUGCCGGCGGUACUUGGCGCCAGCAGCGAGGUGUCCGCGCUGGAAACCGAAUGGGGCAGGCGCUGUCAGCGCUGAAUGUGGCCCGGGCAGCGCCGGACAUUCCCGGCCUCUCAACGUCGUGCCCCUACGCGUACCCAUACCUGAUGGAGAUCGACUACGAGUACCGGCAGCUGGCGCAGGAGGUGGCCAGCGAGGGGCUACUGCUCACAAAGCAAGAGGGCGAAGUGGUGCGCGAGAUCGACGCGGAGCUGCGCCGCAGGGCGGCGGAGCGGGUGUACCUUCAGUCGGUGCUGGAGCAGCGCCUUCAGCAACAGGAGAAGGGGUCGGAGAGGAGAGAAGCGUCGACGGCGGCGAGCAACGAGGUGGAUGCGCUGUCGGAGGCAAUCGGGAAGCUGGACGCGCCGCUUAGUGUGGCUGAUCUGGUGCGCCGCCUUGUCUCCAAGCAGGUGUCGGCAUCCACCGCCGCGUUUGACCGCUAUGCCGCGGCGCGGGCGCGGCGUGCGGUGCAGCGGCGCACCCGCACCUUUCAGGACACGUCCGUCAUCACGCUGCUCGAACAACUGCGCGCUGUCGCCGCGACACCGCGCGAGGACGCUACGGAGGUGAUGCGCAAGUACGUCCAGCAGCGUCGCCAGCAUGAGGAGAUGAAGUCCAACAUGCGUGGUCUCACAAAGACCGGCUUCUACGCGGUGCCGAAGCCAAUGGAGAAGUGGAAGCGCGGGCGGGACAUGAUGCUGCUCGUGAACGCCGGCGCCGAGGCGCAGAAGGUGCGGCCGACGUCCUACAUCUCGCAAGCGUACUCGACGAUGCGGGAGCGCAUGAGAGACCACGCCGAGAAGCACUUUGACCGCAUGGCUGUAGCGGCUCGCGACGGCGCCUCUUUCCUCGACCCGAGCAGCUUCGCCGGCACCAGCACGGCAUUCCUGCCGUCCACCUCCACGCCCGCGGCGCUGCCGCUAUCGGCGCAGCAGCACCUGAUCCAGCAGCAGCAGCAGCAGGGCCGUCUGAACGCCGCCAAAGCGGUGCGCCGGCGCGAAGCGUUUUUUCAGUUUCACAGCCUGCGCUGCGACACGGAGGCCCCGGUGACGCUCGAGUCCGUGCCGCUCAACGCCGGCUUUGCCGCGGCCAGCACGCUGGCGCCAGAAUUGCUCGAAUCGGUGGGCGAGACCAUAGCCCCGGGCAGUCGCGCCGUGUCUCUCGGCCGCGGAGGCGAGGACGCCUCGAUCCACACGGAGGACGGCACGUCUCUGUCCUACUCCACCCAUAGCGCAGCGCCCAGCUCGUACCCCUAUCUGUUCGACCACGAACCGCGCUCGCGCCGUCCGCGCCAGCGUCGAAGCAGCCGCGGCAGCGUGAGCGGGCUCUCGCCGGACGUGGAGGGGGCGUCUGUGAACACGUCGCGGGCGACGUCUGUGGCCUCGGCGCACAGCGGAAACGGCGAGGAUGACAAGGCCAAGGAGCACCGCCGCGGCGGCCGCUCGGCUGGCAAGCGUGGCGCGACCGCAGCAGCGACGCAGAACGGUGUCGCAGCCACCGCACCCGCGGACUGGCGCUCGAACGCGAAGCGCAGCAUCAUGGAGCAGCUAACCCUCUACCGCCGUGGCAAGCACGGCAAGCCGGCGGUGCUGAACGACGAGCAGUGCCGCGAAAUGUGCCGGCUGCUCCUGGAUCGCGCCAUGCGCGCCGAGGCGGAGCGGCAGGGGAUGUCCCUCGCGGUUCAGUCGAACAACAUCGCGGCGCGCUUCACCAAAGUGACGGAGAAGCGGCUCAAGAAGAGCGUCGACCACUACUUGGAGAGGCAGAUGCAGCAGGGCAGCUUAUUCUCCAAGGCAGCGACCUCAGCAGGUGGUGCGCUCGGCGCGUCCGCGGUCGGUGUCCUCGGUGCCGGCGCUGUGCUGCAUCCAGGCAUCUUGCCCAUGGACGACAACGGCGCAGUGCUGCCGCACGACACAGCCGCCGAGGCACGCCAGCGCGCGGUGGCCGACACACCUAUCUACGAGGAUUAGUAUCCCACCGUUUGUGGGUGUCCAUGUGGCUUUCCAGAGAGCGAGGGGUGGCGGGGUGUGACGCCUCGCUGCUGAUGCCGUGAACAUUGGCACGGGCGGCCCCGUGGUCGGUUGAGUGGGUGCGGGUCAGUGCUGCUGCCGCGUACGCAAGUGUGCUUGUAUGUGCACGACGCCCUUCUUCCCCCUACGCCGUGUGUUGGUCUCUCGUUGCAUCUCUAUCCUUCUCGUGCAUCGGUCUGCGCUUUCCUUGUGUGACGUGACGAUGGUUGCCGCACAUGCGCACACGUGCGUAUUCGAGUGUGUGUGUGUGUGUGUCUGAUGCACUCCCCCUCCCUUUACCCCCCCCCGCUCCGACCCAAUCCACCUUCUCUGUUUUACAUCUACAUCUCUGCAUGGCAACACAGAUGGCUGGCGCCUUCUCUGGAUUUCCGUUGGAGAAAAGCGAGGGGGCGGCGGUGCUCAUCCCUCUCGCUGACCCUCUCUCUCUGUGUAUGUGUACGCAUGCGUGUGUGUGUCGUUGAGCUAACAAGAAUGCGGUCUGCACCCGUCUGUGCCUCUCAU